RNAcentral lists this long non-coding RNA (506 nucleotides) under Anas platyrhynchos platyrhynchos (common mallard). RNAcentral's name for it is "lncRNA (ENSAPLG00000023687.1)". Lineage: Eukaryota; Metazoa; Chordata; Aves; Anseriformes; Anatidae. The record is from RNAcentral.
CAGCACUGGGCCAGACAAUUCUCCAUGCCCUACAGGACAGGUAAGAUCGCCCCAACCCACACCCACCAGGCUGCAACAGCAAGCAGGAAGGUGACAGAAUCGGGCCAGGACGGGAGUCAACCGUUGCAUCAGGAUGACGGGGCACGGACAGCCUUGGGAUGAGACCACACCACAGCAGACUCCUGGCCGCUCUCCGCUUGAGAACCUGUACAGAAAGAAUGCCGACACUCUACCGGACAGCUGGACACACUGACAGCGAGCAAAUGAAGCCAUGGCACACUCCUGGCCUCUCCCUUUGAGAAGUCAUCUAGAAAUGUGUCAGCGUUCUCCAGGACAGGUAAGAUAGCCCCAACCCACACCCCACCACAGUCUCAGAGUAAGCAGGACAGUGACACGCUCAGGCCAGGACAGCAGUGACCACUCCAUCAGGACGACGGGACACGGACAGCCUUGGUGAGACGCUAGAGACCCUCGGGCACAGAGGCAGGGGCUGCCCGUGGUCACAG